Molecule: ribosomal RNA, 253 nt
Filed under: uncultured bacterium
Lineage: Bacteria
Description: partial 16S ribosomal RNA
Rfam family: Bacterial small subunit ribosomal RNA
Source: RNAcentral
UACGAAGGGGGCUAGCGUUGUUCGGAAUUACUGGGCGUAAAGCGUAUGCAGGCGGACUUUUAAGUCGGGGGUGAAAUCCCGAGGCUCAACCUCGGAACUGCCUUCGAUACUGGAAGUCUUGAGUCCGGGAGAGGUGAGUGGAACUGCGAGUGUAGAGGUGAAAUUCGUAGAUAUUCGCAAGAACACCAGUGGCGAAGGCGGCUCACUGGCCCGGUACUGACGCUGAGAUACGAAAGCGUGGGGAGCAAACAGG